This 858-nucleotide ribosomal RNA is filed under the name Lamna nasus. Its description in RNAcentral is "partial 16S ribosomal RNA". The stretch from base 180 to 858 matches the Rfam family "Bacterial large subunit ribosomal RNA", at positions 568 to 1682 of the family's 2925-position model. Lineage: Eukaryota; Metazoa; Chordata; Chondrichthyes; Lamniformes; Lamnidae. The record is from RNAcentral.
UUAAAGCUAGCCUAUCCACCUACCUCAAACCCAACAUUAUUAAUUACCUUACGUAUUUACACCUAACUAAAACAUUUUAUCAUUUUAGUAUGGGCGACAGAACAAAAACUCAGCGCAAUAGACCAUGUACCGCAAGGGAAAGCUGAAAGAGAAAUGAAACAAAUAAUUAAAGUAAUAAAAAGCAGAGAUUCCACCUCGUACCUUUUGCAUCAUGAUUUAGCUAGAAAAACUAGACAAAGAGAUCUUUAGCCUAUCUUCCCGAAACUAAACGAGCUACUCCGAAGCAGCACAACUUAGAGCCAACCCGUCUCUGUGGCAAAAGAGUGGGAAGACUUCCGAGUAGCGGUGACAAGCCUAUCGAGUUUAGUGAUAGCUGGUUGUCCAAGAAAAGAACUUCAAUUCUGCAUUAAUUCUUUCAUCACCAAAAAGUCUAUCAUAUUAAGGUCAAACAUAAGAAUUAAUAGUUAUUCAGAAGAGGUACAGCCCUUCUGAACCAAGACACAACUUUCAAAGGAGGGAAAUGAUCACAUUUAUCAAGGUUCUUACCCCAGUGGGCCCAAAAGCAGCCACCUGUGAAGUAAGCGUCACAGCUCCAGUCUCACAAAAACCUAUAAUUCAGAUAUUCUUCUCAGCACCCCCUUGACUAUAUUGGACUAUUUUAUAAAAUUAUAAAAGAACUUAUGCUAAAAUGAGUAAUAAGAGGUUAAACCUCUCCCGACACAAGUGUACAUCAGAAAGAAUUAAUUCACUGAUAAUUAAACGAACCCAAACUGAGGUCAUUAUAUUCAUAUUUUACCUUAACUAGAAAAUCUUAUUAUAACAUUCGUUAAUCCUACACAGGAGUGUCUUAAGGAAAGA